RNAcentral lists this ribosomal RNA (253 nucleotides) under uncultured bacterium. RNAcentral's name for it is "partial 16S ribosomal RNA". It matches the Rfam family "Bacterial small subunit ribosomal RNA", at positions 524 to 776 of the family's 1533-position model. The record is from RNAcentral.
UACGGAGGGUGCGAGCGUUAAUCGGAAUUACUGGGCGUAAAGCGUGCGUAGGCGGCCCGCUAAGCCAGAUGUGAAAGCCCCGGGCUCAACCUGGGAACUGCAUUUGGAACUGGCGGGCUAGAGUUUGGUAGAGGGGAGCGGAAUUUCAGGUGUAGCGGUGAAAUGCGUAGAUAUCUGAAGGAACACCAGUGGCGAAGGCGGCUCCCUGGACCAGAACUGACGCUGAGGUACGAAAGCGUGGGUAGCAAACAGG